CCUUUGUGAAGCUCAUCCUACAACUAUCUCGUUCCAUUUAUUAAUAGGAUGAAUCAAUUCCGGUUUUGUGGAUCGAUUUCUGAAUAGCUCAAUCCACGCAAACGAUGACGUUUACAAAGCUUUACUGAUAAGAACGAAUCUCAAAACAGUCAGGAAAAUUGAUAACUCUGCAUGCAAUGCACGAUGGCAAGUGUAUCACAUGCUUCAUUAUAAAUAAGUGUGUUUCUUCUUCUUUCCCUCAUCGUUCAAUCCUAAGAAUUCUCUCUACAAGUUGUUUUUUGCAAAGUUUGCUCCAUCACUAGCAAAGGAGUUUCCAAAUAUUUCUCUAUUUCCUCACGAGAAUUGUUUCUAUGUUACAAGAGGACAGAAGAAGAUGUAGUCCCACAAAAGAAGCAACAAAGAUGUCUCGAUAUCAAGGAGAAUUGAAUAAGAAUAUAUGGAGAUCGAUCUACAAUUUCUUGUUCCUACCCUUGUUCCAAGAUAUUUAAGCCCUUGAUUUUGUUAUUUCACGCCUUGAAUCA
Long non-coding RNA from Macadamia integrifolia, 521 nucleotides. RefSeq lists it as uncharacterized. The record is from RefSeq and is a predicted model, not a curated record. The transcript has 2 exons. NCBI's taxonomy places the organism in Eukaryota, Viridiplantae, Streptophyta, Magnoliopsida, Proteales, Proteaceae.